GCUAAAGUAGCUCAGUAGGCAGAGCACAUCCUUGGUAAGGAUGAGGUCACGGGUUCGAUUCCCGUCUUUAGCUCCA
This 76-nucleotide transfer RNA is filed under the name Bacillota bacterium. RNAcentral describes it as "tRNA-Thr". It matches the Rfam family "tRNA". From Rfam's summary of the family: Transfer RNA (tRNA) molecules are approximately 80 nucleotides in length. Their secondary structure includes four short double-helical elements and three loops (D, anti-codon, and T loops). Further hydrogen bonds mediate the characteristic L-shaped molecular structure. tRNAs have two regions of fundamental functional importance: the anti-codon, which is responsible for specific mRNA codon recognition, and the 3' end, to which the tRNAs corresponding amino acid is attached (by aminoacyl-tRNA synthetases). tRNAs cope with the degeneracy of the genetic code in two manners: having more than one tRNA (with a specific anti-codon) for a particular amino acid; and 'wobble' base-pairing, i.e. permitting non-standard base-pairing at the 3rd anti-codon position. RNAcentral also lists the same sequence under 1 other name. The record is from RNAcentral. Lineage: Bacteria; Bacillati; Bacillota.